GAUGAUGAGGUUAAUAGGUUCGAGGUGGAAGCAUGGUGACAUGUGGAGCUGACGAAUACUAAUCGAUCGAAGACUUAAUCAAAUU
RNAcentral lists this ribosomal RNA (85 nucleotides) under Staphylococcus aureus. RNAcentral's name for it is "partial 23S ribosomal RNA". Lineage: Bacteria; Bacillati; Bacillota; Bacilli; Caryophanales; Staphylococcaceae. The record is from RNAcentral.